AUCAACGCUGGCGGCGUGCCUCAGACAUGCAAGUCGAACGCUGCUGUCCGCCUUCGGGUGGACAGCGGAGUGGCGCACGGGUGAGUAACACGUAGGUAAUCUACCUUUGGGUGGGGAAUAACAGCCGGAAACGGCUGCUAAUACCGCAUAAUGCAGCGGCAUCACAUGAUGACAGUUGUUAAAGCGAGGGAUCGUAAGACCUCGCGCCUGAAGAGGAGCCUGCGGCAGAUUAGGUAGUUGGUGAGGUAAUGGCUCACCAAGCCUGCGAUCUGUAACCG
RNAcentral lists this ribosomal RNA (278 nucleotides) under uncultured bacterium. Its description in RNAcentral is "partial 16S ribosomal RNA". It matches the Rfam family "Bacterial small subunit ribosomal RNA", at positions 32 to 289 of the family's 1533-position model. The record is from RNAcentral.